UUGCCUUAAACUAAUGAGUAAGGAAAACAAAGCGAUCGGUGAAAGCCGCUAGCCGCGCAGAACACAAAAUUUGUGUGCAUGAAUUUAUGGAGGGGUUAUAGGCUGGCCGAGCGUUGGCGCUGCUUACUUUUGCAGAACUCGCUUGAGCGGGCCUCCC
Molecule: small nuclear RNA, 157 nt
Organism: Camellia sinensis
Lineage: Eukaryota; Viridiplantae; Streptophyta; Magnoliopsida; Ericales; Theaceae
Product: U12 minor spliceosomal RNA
Source: RefSeq, a predicted model, not a curated record